AUGACGGCAGCCUCCUCGAUAGGCGUCUGGGCGGCCCCGAACUCUCCCUUUUUAUCGUGUGCGUGUGUGUUUUUUUGUUUUUGGGUGCUCCAAUUUUUCUGUUGUGUUGCAGCUAGGGCAACAUUGUUUGUGCUACUAGGGAGUGGCAACAUUGUCAAACCUUUCCCUUCCUAGUUAGGUUACAAUGCCUGCAAUGGGCCACCAGUUUUAGUUGGAUUUUGAUUGGAUUUCUUUGAUUAAGUUGAGGUUGACGAGCUGACUUAAGUCACUAUACUGAUCUUUACCAGCUCAAAUCUAGGAGGCUCUUGCAGUGAGGCGGUUGUUCUUGUCAAUGUUGGUUCAAUCAGUUUUUUUCCCCUGUACGCAAGAUUUUGACAAAUUAUGGUCGAUGCAAUAGUUCUUCUUUCCAGUUUAUACUCGACAGUGUGAGAAAGCCAUUUUGGCAGUUGUCGACGAGUUGGAGUCACGAUCCUCCAUUGAUAGCCACAAGGUCAACAAGCGACAGUGCUGUGGCGAUGAUGCGUCCUGAUAUGCUGCGGUAGUGUAAAGGAAUACGACUUCUUUGCAACUAGCGAUGGGGGAAGUGGUGCUGAUCUUGUAGGUGGCCGACGACGCUAGGAGGAACUGGUGUUUUUGUUCCUUCUUUGUCAAAUUUUAUUUCUUCCUUAGUUCUGAACUUCGAGUCAAGCGAAGUUUGCGGGUUGUGUUUUUUUUCAUGUUGGAGGGUGUGUCUGUAUGUGAAAAGCCACCCCUGUCUUUUUGUUUUUUCUUCUUUUCCUCGGCAGAAGCAUAGGUUGGUUGUGGAGCGUGCGGCGGUUCCAUGUUCACUUCCACUGGCAGUUUGAACCUCCGUGGGGCGAAGUGAGCCACAUCUUGUCGCAGUUGGAAUGCCAUCCAUUCUGGUGUCAACGCUACACUAGGUGUUGUUUGCGGUGGUUGUGCGACUCGACAUGACGAUAUAAAGCCUCGUCGCUGCGGUUAAAUCAAGGAUUUGUUGAUCAGCUAGGGUGGCAGUUGGCUCCUCUCCGACGUUGCUAGGUGAUUUUGGAGUCCAAUUGCUGCCAAUCCGGACAGUUUUGGAUCUUCUCGGAGAUUGGUGUAUAGAAGAUUAAUCCAGUCAAUUAGUGAUCGACGCCCUCGAGCUGGUUGCGUACGGCAUGUUUCUUCGAUGUCGCCUUAGAUUUUGGUUCUAAAGCUGCAGCUUAGAUUUUCAUGCCACUCCUACAGAAUUCGUAGGAUUGAUUGAGUCUCUAUCCGCCAACAAGUGUGCGUGAUCACAAUUUAAUGUGCACAUAUGAACGCCCUGCGACACUUAAUCAAACUUAGUUGUACCCCAUAGUUCAGCAUCUACGGAACUUAAAGGCUCUAUUACUUGAUAAAUCUAGAUUCAAACCACAAUUAUCCUCAUGACAUACCAUCCGUGUUCAUGUAGUCGCCUCAUACAUUUAGUUAAUAGGUUCGUUUGGUGGGUGUGAGGUAAGCCCUAAUCGUUGGACUCUAGUCGAUCAAGAUUGUGCUAGAGGCAAGAGAUGAAGGUUGAGCAUUUCGAGGAUCUCCAAGUUGUUGAUGCGGAGCCAAACCGUGUGAUAAGAAGGAGGAGAACUUGCAUUCAACUCCGACUUUGUCACCCUACAUUCCUAUUGCUAAAUCGGCUGACUGGAGGCAAAUGUGACUGGACAUUUGGCAGCAUCCUUCUUCCCCUUCUGUGAUCAACGGAGUGAACUCCGGAUUGGGCAAGAUUGUGGGUGCGGCAAUUUGUAGAGAUGUUGGCGUUGACUUUUGAUCUGCAGUUGUUACAUUCAUGGUGGCACUGAUGCAAGAAGUGGAGCAAGAGAGCCUUUGCUUGUGGAUGAGGUCUUGAGGAGGAUGUAGAUAGUUGAAGAAGUUGUGCACGAUGGUAGAGGAAGUCUUCCAUCUUCUCGACGGCAGGAAGGAGUGCUCAGAUCGGGAAUUUCAGACUUGCUUAGUCUUCCAAGCGAUUGAGGUGCUGUGUUGUUAGGUCGACCCUCACUGGGUUUUGCAAUUGGGCGAUCAGACAAAGAUGGCAGAGUGUGGCAGGCUGCGAUGGAAUUCGACUCACAGCAGGUCGACUAGUGCAGCAAUCUCCUUCGGCUCAGUGAGACUAUUUACACUGAUUAGGGUGGAUUUUGGGUGCAAGUAGGUUAGGUUCUAGGGCAAACGACUUGGAUGAAUUUUUAAAUCAAUGAUAAAUUUAUAAAGCAUGGAUGAAUCUUAAAUUGGA
Long non-coding RNA from Physcomitrium patens, 2242 nucleotides. RefSeq lists it as uncharacterized. Lineage: Eukaryota; Viridiplantae; Streptophyta; Bryopsida; Funariales; Funariaceae. The record is from RefSeq and is a predicted model, not a curated record.